ACGGGAGGCAGCAGUGGGGAAUAUUGCACAAUGGGGGAAACCCUGAUGCAGCGACGCCGCGUGAGUGAUGAAGUAUUUCGGUAUGUAAAGCUCUAUCAGCAGGGAAGAUUAUGACGGUACCUGACUAAGAAGCCCCGGCUAACUACGUGCCAGCAGCCGCGGUAAUACGUAGGGGGCAAGCGUUAUCCGGAUUUACUGGGUGUAAAGGGAGCGUAGACGGUUUGGCAAGUCAGAUGUGAAAGCCUGGGGCUCAACCCCGGAACUGCAUUUGAAACUGUCAGACUAGAGUGCAGGAGAGGUAAGUGGAAUUCCUAGUGUAGCGGUGAAAUGCGUAGAUAUUAGGAGGAACACCAGUGGCGAAGGCGGCUUACUGGACUGUAACUGACGUUGAGGCUCGAAAGCGUGGGGAGCAAACAGGAUUAGAUACCCUGGUA
This 434-nucleotide ribosomal RNA is filed under the name uncultured Lachnospiraceae bacterium. RNAcentral's name for it is "partial 16S ribosomal RNA". It matches the Rfam family "Bacterial small subunit ribosomal RNA", at positions 341 to 792 of the family's 1533-position model. Lineage: Bacteria; Bacillati; Bacillota; Clostridia; Lachnospirales; Lachnospiraceae. The record is from RNAcentral.